Molecule: ribosomal RNA, 656 nt
Filed under: uncultured Lachnospiraceae bacterium
Lineage: Bacteria; Bacillati; Bacillota; Clostridia; Lachnospirales; Lachnospiraceae
Description: bacterial SSU rRNA
Rfam family: Bacterial small subunit ribosomal RNA
Source: RNAcentral
AGUCGAACGGGAAACAUUUCAUUGAAGCUUCGGCAGAUUUGGUCUGUUUCUAGUGGCGGACGGGUGAGUAACGCGUGGGUAACCUGCCUUAUACUGGGGGAUAACAGCCAGAAAUGGCUGCUAAUACCGCAUAAGCGCACAGGACCGCAUGGUCCGGUGUGAAAAACUCCGGUGGUAUAAGAUGGACCCGCGUUGGAUUAGCUGGUUGGCAGGGCAGCGGCCUACCAAGGCGACGAUCCAUAGCCGGCCUGAGAGGGUGAACGGCCACAUUGGGACUGAGACACGGCCCAGACUCCUACGGGAGGCAGCAGUGGGGAAUAUUGCACAAUGGGGGAAACCCUGAUGCAGCGACGCCGCGUGAAGGAAGAAGUAUCUCGGUAUGUAAACUUCUAUCAGCAGGGAAGAUAAUGACGGUACCUGACUAAGAAGCCCCGGCUAACUACGUGCCAGCAGCCGCGGUAAUACGUAGGGGGCAAGCGUUAUCCGGAUUUACUGGGUGUAAAGGGAGCGUAGACGGCGCAGCAAGUCUGAUGUGAAAGGCAGGGGCUUAACCCCUGGACUGCAUUGGAAACUGUUGAGCUUGAGUGCCGGAGGGGUAAGCGGAAUUCCUAGUGUAGCGGUGAAAUGCGUAGAUAUUAGGAGGAACACCAGUGGCG